RNAcentral lists this ribosomal RNA (285 nucleotides) under uncultured Acidobacteriota bacterium. Its description in RNAcentral is "uncultured Acidobacteria bacterium partial 16S ribosomal RNA". It matches the Rfam family "Bacterial small subunit ribosomal RNA", at positions 508 to 792 of the family's 1533-position model. Lineage: Bacteria; Pseudomonadati; Acidobacteriota. The record is from RNAcentral.
CCAGCAGCCGUGGUAAUACGUAGGGGGCCAGCGUUGCUCGGAAUUACUGGGCGUAAAGGGUGUGUAGGCGGUUCUGUAAGUUUGGUGUGAAAUCUCCCGGCUUAACUGGGAGGGUGCGCCGAAAACUGCGGGGCUAGAGUACGGGAUGGGAGAGUGGAAUUCCUGGUGUAGCGGUGAAAUGCGUAGAUAUCAGGAGGAACACCGGUGGUGUAGACGGCUCUCUGGACCGUUACUGACGCUGAAACACGAGAGCGUGGGUAGCAAACAGGAUUAGAUACCCUGGUA